This 492-nucleotide ribosomal RNA is filed under the name uncultured bacterium. Its description in RNAcentral is "partial 16S ribosomal RNA". It matches the Rfam family "Bacterial small subunit ribosomal RNA", at positions 29 to 507 of the family's 1533-position model. The record is from RNAcentral.
AGUGAACGCUGGCGGUAGGUCUAACACAUGCAAGUCGAACGGCAGCACAGUAAGAGCCUGCUCUUACGGGUGGCGAGUGGCGGACGGGUGAGGAAUACAUCGGAAUCUACUUUUUCGUGGGGGAUAACGUAGGGAAACUUACGCUAAUACCGCAUACGACCUACGGGUGAAAGCAGGGGAUCUUCGGACCUUGCGCGAUUGAAUGAGCCGAUGUCGGAUUAGCUAGUUGGCGGGGUAAAGGCCCACCAAGGCGACGAUCCGUAGCUGGUCUGAGAGGAUGAUCAGCCACACUGGAACUGAGACACGGUCCAGACUCCUACGGGAGGCAGCAGUGGGGAAUAUUGGACAAUGGGCGCAAGCCUGAUCCAGCCAUACCGCGUGGGUGAAGAAGGCCUUCGGGUUGUAAAGCCCUUUUGUUGGGAAAGAAAAGCAGCAGGUUAAUACCCCGCUGUUCUGACGGUACCCAAAGAAUAAGCACCGGCUAACUUCGUG